CCUACGGGUGGCUGCAGUGGGGAAUAUUGGACAAUGGGGGGAACCCUGAUCCAGCCAUGCCGCGUGUGCGAAGAAGGCCCUCGGGUUGUAAAGCACUUUCAGUGAGGAAGAACGCCUGGUGGUUAAUACCCAUCAGGAAAGACAUCACUCACAGAAGAAGCACCGGCUAACUCCGUGCCAGCAGCCGCGGUAAUACGGAGGGUGCGAGCGUUAAUCGGAAUUACUGGGCGUAAAGCGCGCGUAGGUGGCUUGAUAAGCCGGUUGUGAAAGCCCCGGGCUCAACCUGGGAACGGCAUCCGGAACUGUCAAGCUAGAGUGCAGGAGAGGAAGGUAGAAUUCCCGGUGUAGCGGUGAAAUGCGUAGAGAUCGGGAGGAAUACCAGUGGCGAAGGCGGCCUUCUGGACUGACACUGACACUGAGGUGCGAAAGCGUGGGUAGCAAACAGGAUUAGAUACCCGGGUAGUC
Molecule: ribosomal RNA, 465 nt
Filed under: Vreelandella stevensii
Lineage: Bacteria; Pseudomonadati; Pseudomonadota; Gammaproteobacteria; Oceanospirillales; Halomonadaceae
Description: partial 16S ribosomal RNA
Rfam family: Bacterial small subunit ribosomal RNA
Source: RNAcentral